GGCGGCGUAGCUCAGCUGGCUAGAGCAUUCGGUUCAUACCCGGAGAGUCGGUGGUUCAAGUCCACUCGCCGCUACCA
RNAcentral lists this transfer RNA (77 nucleotides) under delta proteobacterium ML8_F1. Its description in RNAcentral is "tRNA-Met". It matches the Rfam family "tRNA". Rfam says of the family: Transfer RNA (tRNA) molecules are approximately 80 nucleotides in length. Their secondary structure includes four short double-helical elements and three loops (D, anti-codon, and T loops). The record is from RNAcentral. Lineage: Bacteria; Deltaproteobacteria.